UGGUACCAUAGAGACUGUGUACAUCUACAUGAUGAACAAGAGUGGUUAAGACUUACAGAGUCAGGAGAGCCUUUCUCUUGUCCUAUGUGCAUUUAACCAUGUAUAAGAAUUCCAAUAAGAAAAAUAAAUUGACCUUUUGUGGAAUUUGAUGACAUUCAGCAGUCUGUGCAGCCUCUCCACCAGUAAUUUGAUUUCCGAGAAAUUGUUGUUUGUCCUAAGAUGACAGAGUUCAUGGAAUGGCAGUAACCAAGUUUUAUAGUGGCAAUCAAUUCAGAACCUGCGUCACCAAGACUCCUUUGGAACAUCUCCAUCAGAUGAAGCAUUUCAGUAUUCAAUACCUCUUCGGCCAGGUGAUUACGCAUUUUGGCUUCUGAUGUUAAGAACAGAUGCUCUUGUGAAAGUUUAUGGUGAAU
Long non-coding RNA from Saccostrea cuccullata (small rock oyster), 413 nucleotides. RefSeq lists it as uncharacterized. The transcript is spliced from 3 exons. The record is from RefSeq and is a predicted model, not a curated record. NCBI's taxonomy places the organism in Eukaryota, Metazoa, Mollusca, Bivalvia, Ostreida, Ostreidae.